UUGAUCCUGGCUCAGGACGAACGCUGGCGGCGUGCUUAACACAUGCAAGUGGAGCGACGAACCGGGCUUCGGCCCGGGGCAAAGCCGCGAACGGGUGAGUAACACGUGGGUAACCCACCCCGAUGACCGGGACAACCCGAGGAAACUCGAGCUAAUACCGGAUGUUCUCGCUUCUCGUAAGGGAAACGAGCAAAGAUAGCUUCGGCCUUCGCAUCGGGACGGGCCCGCGGCCCAUUAGCUUGUUGGUGGGGUAACGGCCUACCAAGGCGACGAUGGGUAGCUGGUCUGAGAGGACGAUCAGCCACACUGGGACUGAGACACGGCCCAGACUCCUACGGGAGGCAGCAGUGGGGAAUCUUGCGCAAUGCGCGAAAGCGUGACGCAGCAACGCCGCGUGGGGGAAGAAGGCCUUCGGGUUGUAAACCCCUUUCAGUUGGGACGAAGCUUCGCCGGUUAAUAGCCGGCUGGAGUGACGGUACCUUCAGAAGAAGCCCCGGCUAACUACGUGCCAGCAGCCGCGGUAAUACGUAGGGGGCUAGCGUUGUCCGGAAUCAUUGGGCGUAAAGCGCGUGUAGGCGGUCCGGUAAGUCCGCUGUGAAAGUCGGGGGCUCAACCCUCGGAUGCCGGUGGAUACUGUCGGGCUUGAGUACGGAAGAGGCGAGUGGAAUUCCUGGUGUAGCGGUGAAAUGCGCAGAUAUCAGGAGGAACACCAAUUGCGAAGGCAGCUCGCUGGGACGUCACUGACGCUGAGACGCGAAAGCGUGGGGAGCAAACAGGAUUAGAUACCCUGGUAGUCCACGCUGUAAACGAUGGGCACUAGGUGUGGGGGGUGUCGACUCCCUCCGUGCCGAAGCUAACGCAUUAAGUGCCCCGCCUGGGGAGUACUGCCGCAAGGCUAAAACUCAAAGGAAUUGACGGGGGC
RNAcentral lists this ribosomal RNA (922 nucleotides) under uncultured bacterium. RNAcentral's name for it is "bacterial SSU rRNA". It matches the Rfam family "Bacterial small subunit ribosomal RNA", at positions 13 to 920 of the family's 1533-position model. The record is from RNAcentral.